This is a long non-coding RNA of Oncorhynchus tshawytscha (Chinook salmon), 427 nucleotides long. NCBI's taxonomy places the organism in Eukaryota, Metazoa, Chordata, Actinopteri, Salmoniformes, Salmonidae. The record is from Ensembl.
AACUAUACAGGGGCUAACUAUGCAGGAUGCUAACUAUGCAGGUUCUAACUAUACAGGUGCUAACUAUGCAGGAUGCUAACUAUGCAGGAUGCUAACUAUGCAGGAUGCUAACUAUGCAGGUACAAACUAUGCAGGUACAAACUAUGCAGGUGCAAACUAUGCAGGUAGUAACUAUGCUGGUGCUAACUAUACAGGGGCUAACUAUGCAGGAUGCUAACUAUGCAGGUGCUAAAUAUGCAGGUGCUAACUAAGCAGGUGCUAAUGAUGCAGGUUUGUAGGUGCUAAUUUUGCAGGAUGCUAACUGUGCAGGUGCUCGCUAUGCAGGUGCCAACUAUGCAGGAUGCUAGCUAUGCAGGAUGCUAGCUAUGCAGGUGCUAACUAUGCAGGUGCUAACUAUGCAGGUGCUAACUAUGCAUGUGCUCAGUAU